CAACUUUCAGCAACGGAUCUCUUGGCUCUCGCAUCGAUGAAGAACGCAGCGAAAUGCGAUAAGUAAUGUGAAUUGCAGAAUUCAGUGAAUCAUCGAAUCUUUGAACGCACCUUGCGCCCCUUGGUAUUCCGAGGGGCAUGCCUGUUUGAGUGUCAUUU
Molecule: ribosomal RNA, 158 nt
Filed under: Gymnopilus spectabilis
Lineage: Eukaryota; Fungi; Basidiomycota; Agaricomycetes; Agaricales; Galerinaceae
Description: 5.8S ribosomal RNA
Rfam family: 5.8S ribosomal RNA
About the family: 5.8S ribosomal RNA (5.8S rRNA) is a component of the large subunit of the eukaryotic ribosome. It is transcribed by RNA polymerase I as part of the 45S precursor that also contains 18S and 28S rRNA. Functionally, it is thought that 5.8S rRNA may be involved in ribosome translocation.
Source: RNAcentral